UAAUGACCUGGCGGCAGCUUACACAUGCAGUCGAACGGUAACGGGAAGGAGCUUGCUUCUUUGCCGACGAGUGGCGGACGGGUGAGUAAUGCUUGGGAAUCCGGCUUAUGGAGGGGGAUAACGACGGGAAACUGUCGCUAAUACCGCGUAAUAUCUACGGAUUAAAGGGUGGGACCUUCGGGCCACCUGCCAUAAGAUGAGCCCAAGUGGGAUUAGGUAGUUGGUGGGGUAAAGGCCUACCAAGCCUGCGAUCUCUAGCUGGUCUGAGAGGAUGACCAGCCACACCGGGACUGAGACACGGCCCGGACUCCUACGGGAGGCAGCAGUGGGGAAUAUUGCACAAUGGGGGGAACCCUGAUGCAGCCAUGCCGCGUGAAUGAAGAAGGCCUUCGGGUUGUAAAGUUCUUUCGGUAGCGAGGAAGGUGUUUUGUUUAAUAGAUAAAGCAAUUGACGUUAACUACAGAAGAAGCACCGGCUAACUCCGUGCCAGCAGCCGCGGUAAU
RNAcentral lists this ribosomal RNA (503 nucleotides) under uncultured bacterium. Its description in RNAcentral is "bacterial SSU rRNA". It matches the Rfam family "Bacterial small subunit ribosomal RNA", at positions 36 to 524 of the family's 1533-position model. The record is from RNAcentral.